Long non-coding RNA from Austrofundulus limnaeus, 4567 nucleotides. RefSeq lists it as uncharacterized. The transcript is spliced from 4 exons. The record is from RefSeq and is a predicted model, not a curated record. Lineage: Eukaryota; Metazoa; Chordata; Actinopteri; Cyprinodontiformes; Rivulidae.
GGUGCAUCGUAAAUGUAUUUAUUUAUUUAUUGGUCCAUUUCUUUCUAAUGAUGUCAGUUUCGGUCCUCCAUACACCUUUCCUCCAGAUACUCAAACACGCUCCUCAGUCUCCCUUCCACAUGCACCACUGAACCCACUCAGUCGGCUUUUCAUCGGACUUUAAUUUUCAGCCGUGAUCGACCACAUUUCAACACCGGCCCACUGCCUCUCCCCAUUUUAUAAGCAUGUGGAAAAAGUCAACCAGGCUCUGAAGCGGCAAGUGGGGGAAACUAAUCAACGUGGCGUUAAUUAAUGAUAGUGGAAAGGCCUUUUACUGACUCGGGGUUUUAGGGGAGUAUUUUUUAAAAGUGGAGUGAAGAUACCUGGAAUUAGGGACGUCUUUGGAGGUAACUCACAGAGUGUAAAGCUAAAAACAGUCCAGCCUUGGAAUUGGAAAAGAUCGUCAAUGAUUUAUUAUGUACUUGGGUUUGUUUCUGUAGGUGCAGCUCUAUGGAACCAUUGAUUAUUGUUGGCCAGUAGUUGGUUGUUAGUUCAGAAGUUCAGAAGUGAAAAAAAAAACAAACUGAACAGAGUUGUUUUCUUUGGCACUGUGCAUGUGUUGCGAUAUUGAUAUGUUCACUGGUGAGAAGAAGAACUACCUUCAACUUAGGAAAGUUAACAGUAAGAAAUCAUGGAAGAGUCUGAGUGAUYAAUGAUGAAAUCUGUAAACUGCACAUUUUUACCCAGAAAUGGUCAUUGUACAUAUAAGUCAACUAACACGACUAUUAUUUGGCCUUAUGCUAACAGAUUAUUAUAAAACAAUUUUUUUGAACCUCAAAAAAKCCUGAACAACUGAAUCUGUGAGRCGUUCAGUUAAUURGUGUCUGGURUCUWUAUCUGACACAACACGGGCCAAAAYCACUUUCUAAUAAAAAUGUGUCACAUUCGUUGGACAUUUUGAUUCUGUAUUUAUUCAUACAUGAUGUAUUCAUACAUGAAGCACACAAAAUCUAACUCCAGGUAUUUUGAGGAAAUCAGAGAGUUAUAAUUAACCAAUCAAGUUUAUUUGUAUUGCACAUUUCAGCAACAAGGCAGUUCAAACUGCUUUACAUCAUAAAAACAAAAUUAUUAAUCAUAAAAUCUCUCUCAAAUGUUUUACCGACCUUCCCUAUUUUUAACUGUACACAAUAUAUUUUAUUACUUACUGUGUACACAUCCCUGUGGUAAUGUGAAUGUUUUCUGUAAGUACAUUUGAGAGUCCCUUAAGGAUAAAGCCCUGCACCAGUAGGUGCCUGUGAAAACCAGGUACCAGUACUAAGUAGUUACUAGGUAUGUACAUACACUGUAAAAAUGUGAUGCAUACUGACACUUACCAGGUAAGUACCAGGUAUAUAUCCUGUACCUACCCUACCAGACUGCAUUAUGUAGGUACUGGGAUGUGUACAGUAACUGAUACUUACCAGUUAAGUACCAGGUACAGAAUCAGUGCCUAAGAGACUACAGUAUGUAGGUACUUGAUGUUUACAGCAAGUAGCAGGUACAUAUCCAGUACCUACAAGACUGCAUUAUGUAAGUCCUUGAUGUGUACAGUAACUGAUACCUACCAGAUAAGUACCAGGUACAUAUCCAGUACCUACCUACAUGACUGUAUUAGACAGGUACUUAAUGUGUACAGUAACUGAUACUUACCAGGUAAGUAUCAGUUACUGUACACAUUAACUGAUAUUUACCAGGUAAGUACCAGAUACAUAUCAUGAACCGCCAAGACUGCAUUAUAUAGGUAAUUGAUGUGUACAGUAAUUGACACUCACCAGUUAAGUACCAGCUAUAUAAUCAGUACCUACCAGACUACAUUAUGUAGGUACUUGAUUUUUACAGUAAGUACUAGGUACAUUUCCAGUACCUACAAGACUGCAUUAUGCAGAUUCUUGAUGUGUACAGUAACUGAUACUUACCAGGUAAGUACCAGRUACAUUUCCAGUACUGCCAAGACUGCAUUACGCAGGUACUUGAUGUGUACAGUAACUGAUAMCUAAGUAAGUACCAGGUACAUAUCCAGUAUCGACAAGACUGCAUUAUGUGGGUACUUGAUGUGUACAAUAACUGAUACCUAAGUAAGUACCAGGUACAUAUCCAGUACCUACAAGACUGCAUUAUGUAGGUACUUGAUGUGUACAGUAACUGAUACCUACCAGGUAAGUACCAGGUACAUAUCCAGUACCAGACUCUGUUGUGUAUUGUACUGUAUUAUCUUCAGAUUCUGUUCUGUAUUUAUUUGUUAUGCACAAAAUCUGAAGAUUAAGASGUCUCUAUAACAGCCUGCAUAGAUGGAUUAGGAAGAGAAUACACUCCUCAGUAAGAUUAUUAUGUAAUUCAAUAUAUUUUACUUUACUGAAAAAAAAAACAGUUUGUUAUAAAUGUGGGUAAAACUUACCUCUUAUUGUCAAAUAUAAAUUGAUGACUAUGCAAAAAUUUCGCAUCCCCCCACAAUGACCCUACCAGCUAAACUUUCCGUGGCCACAGUGAGUACACACUGACAGUUUGUCUAUUCCAUUGUUURAGAACAAUGGGUCACCUUGCCCUCCCUGAUUGCAAAAUUCCUUUGGGAGCUAUGAUGUAAUGACAGUUUCUGAUGCAGGCACGCUGACCAGUAUUUUACUUUUGGUCUUUUAUUGUUUUUUUCUCUCAUGCCAUUUCUUUUUUCUUUUUCUCUCUUUCAAACCCCACUUUUAUUUUUUUUAUUUGAAAAACUUUUUUUUUUGCACUCCCCAUCUUAGCUGAACCCCUUCCCCCUUUUUUUAUCCUUUACCUUGCGUUCCCUUGAACUUCCCCACCAACCCUUUGCCUUUGCUCGUUUCCCCUGGCGAUGUCGCUUACAACCACCUCCCGUCUUCUUAUUCCCCCAUCUCCUUGUUAGGGGCAGGCUCAGGUGGCUGGGUGAGGCUGAGAUGGAUGAGGUGUCGGCCAAAACGUCGACCCAACAGCAUCCUCAAAGAGCGGCACCAACAGCCGACAUCCCACUGGCCUGUCAAGUACAACUGAGUCCAGUGACAGUGAUUUUCAGUGGCUGUACCGAUCAAGAUAAGCUGGGCAGGAAUGCAGAUGUGUCCGACCUACGCUGUGUCAGCCAACGAUUUUACGAUAGACCACAUAUUUGAGGAGGGGCUCCAUCCGAAAAGGUGGUGUCUGGAUAUAYAAAAAUGUUUCUAACAAUAACUAUUCAACAAAGGAGCUUCAGAUGUUUGUUUUUUUUUUUAGCUCUGAUUGGGCUGCCCACCAAUGAACACCCCCACCCCUCUGGACCCCCACCCAACACAAUCAAUCUGUUCUGUUGUGUGUUUAAGAAGAGCACAUUGUGAGCUGAUGUGAGAAACAUGUGAGAAGAAACGCUGUGAAACAUGGAGCUAAAAAAUAGCAUCGAAAAAGAAAACAAGAUUUUCUUCGUCUGACUCCGGUGAGUAAACAGCUAUGGUUUAUAUGCUUCAUUAUGCGCGACUUACAACAAAAGGGAGGGGGAAUAUUUCUGUUAUAUGUGAAGAAAUGUCAAAACAAAUAAAUAUGGUAGGUGCUUCCUGGUUAUUUUGCCUCCCCACAGCUGCCCAGCAGUCAUCCAACAUAAUCAUUUUUGGCUUCUUCAAACUCCACACAAAAUAGUAAAUCCGACCAACCACAUCUUCACCAAAAUCCUCCCACAAAAGUCAAACAGACCAAUCACGUCUUUGACAAACCCCUCCCACACACCAAUAAACUCCCCCUUAAUGACUGCAGAGAUCUACUUCCCCUUUAAAGUGGUCCUAAUAAUUAUUUUGGCAGUCUUGUCAGUUUCCUAACGGCCUUCAAAUCUUCAAACCAGGAGUGGAAGUUUGAGAGCAGUUUGGGAACGACAACAGUUGGUUGUAACUAACUCUGUCUUGAUGAAUAAUAAUCCGAUUACAUUUUCAAUCUGGGAACUGUAAAGUAGGACUAUAAAAGUAUAUUUUGCAGUAGCAGUGGGCUAAGGCAGCAGCACAUAAACUGCUCUUAAUGAGAUCAUUCUAAAUGAAACAAAUCCCACUAUCAUCGCCAAGGCCACUAAUGUAAUACACCAUUCAGUAAUACCUUGACCUCUUGUUUCGCUCUUCUUCUCUGCCUACCUGGCUGUGUCAAGCUGUCACUCAUAAACCAAUCAUAAUCUAACAUCUCCCUCCUCUGGUCUUCUGUCACCUCUGACCCUGCCCGUGAACUUGGGUCCCCUCCAAUAAGGCUGUCAGACUGACUCAGUCAUCUGUGGCCGCAGACAGAGCCGCCAAUCAUCUGGGAUAAUCGGGAUUGGGCCGACCCUGGGCUGACCUGGCCUUGCAGACGGCUGACAGCAAGAGGAGCACUGAAGUGAAACCUGCAGAGUAUUUUAACAAUCUGUCCGCGCACCUCUGCAUCAAAACACGCACUUACAUAUAAUGCAAAAAGCUGUACACAAACAGGACUACUGCAAAAAACAGAAUUUCAUAGAUAAUUAUUAGGAUUUAAAACAGUAUAGUAGCACAGUAAUCUACGCUCUAUAUAUUUUUUCAUUUAUAAAGUUGACUGAAAAAACUUAAAAAGGUGUUUC